This 260-nucleotide ribosomal RNA is filed under the name uncultured bacterium. Its description in RNAcentral is "partial 16S ribosomal RNA". It matches the Rfam family "Bacterial small subunit ribosomal RNA", at positions 73 to 334 of the family's 1533-position model. The record is from RNAcentral.
UCUUGCAAACUAAAGAUGGCGACCGGCGCACGGGUGAGUAACACGUAUCCAACCUGCCGAUAACUCGGGGAUAGCCUUUCGAAAGAAAGAUUAAUAUCCGAUGGUAUAUUAAAACCGCAUGGUUUUACUAUUAAAAAAUUUCGGUUAUCGAUGGGGAUGCGUUCCAUUAGUUUGUUGGCGGGGUAACGGCCCACCAAGACUACGAUGGAUAGGGGUUCUGAGAGGAAGGUCCCCCACAUUGGAACUGAGACACGGUCCAA